CAAUAGCGUAUAUUUAAGUUGUUGCAGUUAAAAAGCUCGUAGUUGGAUUUCGGAUGGGAUUUGCCGGUCCGUCGUUACGAUGUGCACUGGCCAGUCCUAUCUUGUUGUCGGGGACUAGCUCCUUGGAUUCACUUCCUGGGACUAGGAGCUGACGAGGUUACUUUGAGUAGAUUAGAGUGUUCAAAGCAAGCCUACGCUCUGAAUACAUUAGCAUGGAAUAACACGAUAGGACUCUGGCUUAUCUUGUUGGUCUGUGAGACCAGAGUAAUGAUUAAGAGGGACAGUCGGGGACAUUCGUAUUUCAUUGUCAGAGGUGAAAUUCUUGGAUUUAUGAAAGACGAACUUCUGCGAAAGCAUUUGUCAAGGAUGUUUUCAUUAA
This 379-nucleotide ribosomal RNA is filed under the name uncultured eukaryote. RNAcentral describes it as "partial 18S ribosomal RNA". It matches the Rfam family "Eukaryotic small subunit ribosomal RNA", at positions 592 to 976 of the family's 1831-position model. The record is from RNAcentral.